AUUGAACGCUGGCGGCAGGCCUAACGCAUGCAAGUCGAGCGGAUGAAGGGAGCUUGCUCCUGGAUUCAGCGGCGGACGGGUGAGUAAUGCCUAGGAAUCUGCCUGGUAGUGGGGGAUAACGUCCGGAAACGGGCGCUAAUACCGCAUACGUCCUGAGGGAGAAAGUGGGGGAUCUUCGGACCUCACGCUAUCAGAUGAGCCUAGGUCGGAUUAGCUAGUUGGUGGGGUAAAGGCCUACCAAGGCGACGAUCCGUAACUGGUCUGAGAGGAUGAUCAGUCACACUGGAACUGAGACACGGUCCAGACUCCUACGGGAGGCAGCAGUGGGGAAUAUUGGACAAUGGGCGAAAGCCUGAUCCAGCCAUGCCGCGUGUGUGAAGAAGGUCUUCGGAUUGUAAAGCGCUUUAAGUUGGGAAGAAGGGCAGUAAGUUAAUACCUUGCUGUUUUGACGUUACCAACAGAAUAAGCACCGGCUAACUUCGUG
This 484-nucleotide ribosomal RNA is filed under the name uncultured bacterium. RNAcentral's name for it is "partial 16S ribosomal RNA". It matches the Rfam family "Bacterial small subunit ribosomal RNA", at positions 30 to 507 of the family's 1533-position model. The record is from RNAcentral.